This 220-nucleotide ribosomal RNA is filed under the name uncultured bacterium. RNAcentral's name for it is "partial 16S ribosomal RNA". It matches the Rfam family "Bacterial small subunit ribosomal RNA", at positions 121 to 334 of the family's 1533-position model. The record is from RNAcentral.
UUAACCUACCCAUCAGAGGGGGAUAACACUUGGAAACAGGUGCUAAUACCGCAUAACAGUUUAUGCCGCAUGGCAUAAGAGUGAAAGGCGCUUUCGGGUGUCGCUGAUGGAUGGACCCGCGGUGCAUUAGCUAGUUGGUGAGGUAACGGCUCACCAAGGCCACGAUGCAUAGCCGACCUGAGAGGGUGAUCGGCCACACUGGGACUGAGACACGGCCCAG